RNAcentral lists this ribosomal RNA (417 nucleotides) under uncultured bacterium. Its description in RNAcentral is "bacterial SSU rRNA". It matches the Rfam family "Bacterial small subunit ribosomal RNA", at positions 355 to 774 of the family's 1533-position model. RNAcentral also lists the same sequence under 1 other name. The record is from RNAcentral.
UAAGGAAUAUUGCGCAAUGGGCGAAAGCCUGACGCAGCGACGCCGCGUGGGGGAUGAAGGUCUUCGGAUUGUAAACCCCUUUCGGGAGGGAAGAUGGAGCGAGCAAUCGUUCGGACGGUACCUCCAGAAGCAGCCACGGCCAACUUCGUGCCAGCAGCCGCGGUAAUACGAAGGUGGCAAGCGUUGUUCGGAUUCACUGGGCGUACAGGGUGUGUAGGCGGUUUGGUAAGCCUUCUGUUAAAGCUUCGGGCCCAACCCGGAAAGCGCAGAGGGUACUGCCAGGCUAGAGGGUGGGAGAGGAGCGCGGAAUUCCCGGUGUAGCGGUGAAAUGCGUAGAGAUCGGGAGGAAGGCCGGUGGCGAAGGCGGCGCUCUGGAACAUACCUGACGCUGAGACACGAAAGCGUGGGGAGCAAACA